AGUAUCAAUUGGAGGGCAAGUCUGGUGCCAGCAGCCGCGGUAAUUCCAGCUCCAAUAGCGUAUAUUAAAAUUGUUGCAGUUAAAAAGCUCGUAGUUGAAUUUCUGCUGCUUUGCAUUUUCUCCUAUACGAGUUUUUGCAUUGUGGCUUAUUUCGGUUAUAAUUUAUUAUUUCCGGAUGUUUACUUUGAGAAAAUUAGAGUGCUCAAAGCAGGCUUUUGCCUUGAAUAGUUUAGCAUGGAAUAAUAAAGUAGGACUUUGGUUCUAUUUUGUUGGUUUUAGGUACCAAAGUAAUGGUUAAUAGGAACAGUUGGGGGCAUUCGUAUUUAACUGUCAGAGGUGAAAUUCUUAGAUUUGUUAAAGACGAACUACUGCGAAAGCAUUUGCCAAGGAUGUUUUCAUUAAUCAAGAACGAAAGUUAGGGGAUCGAAGACGAUCAGAUACCGUCGUAGUCCUAACCAUAAACUAUGCCGACUAGAGAUUGGAGGUCGUCAGUUUUUACGACUCCUUCAGCACCUUGAGAGAAAUCAAAGUCUUUGGGUUCUGGGGGG
RNAcentral lists this ribosomal RNA (548 nucleotides) under Theileria sp. Its description in RNAcentral is "SSU rRNA". It matches the Rfam family "Eukaryotic small subunit ribosomal RNA", at positions 540 to 1121 of the family's 1831-position model. Lineage: Eukaryota; Apicomplexa; Aconoidasida; Piroplasmida; Theileriidae. The record is from RNAcentral.